RNAcentral lists this unclassified non-coding RNA (204 nucleotides) under uncultured Peziza. Its description in RNAcentral is "sequence contains ITS1". The record is from RNAcentral. Lineage: Eukaryota; Fungi; Ascomycota; Pezizomycetes; Pezizales; Pezizaceae.
UUGAUAGUUUUUAUUAUCAAUAAACCCCUUUGUUUAAUCAUUUACCCUGUUGCUUCCAUUGGACAGACCGGCAUUGUGUAUACAAGUUGGUCCUCUAGCUUUGUGUUUAUUUGGCACUAGCUAGGGAGCUGCCAGUGGAUAGAAUCCAAACAAAAAAUUCGUGAAGAAACAUAUAUUGUCUGAUUUAUUAGUACAAAAACAAUA